CCUACGGGGGGCUGCAGUGGGGAAUAUUGGACAAUGGGGGCAACCCUGAUCCAGCCAUGCCGCGUGUGUGAAGAAGGCCCUCGGGUUGUAAAGCACUUUCAGUGAGGAAGAACGCCUGGUGGUUAAUACCCAUCAGGAAAGACAUCACUCACAGAAGAAGCACCGGCUAACUCCGUGCCAGCAGCCGCGGUAAUACGGAGGGUGCGAGCGUUAAUCGGAAUUACUGGGCGUAAAGCGCGCGUAGGUGGCUUGAUAAGCCGGUUGUGAAAGCCCCGGGCUCAACCUGGGAACGGCAUCCGGAACUGUCAAGCUAGAGUGCAGGAGAGGAGGGUAGAAUUCCCGGUGUAGCGGUGAAAUGCGUAGAGAUCGGGAGGAAUACCAGUGGCGAAGGCGGCCUUCUGGACUGACACUGACACUGAGGUGCGAAAGCGUGGGUAGCAAACAGGAUUAGAUACCCUUGUAGUC
This 465-nucleotide ribosomal RNA is filed under the name Vreelandella stevensii. RNAcentral's name for it is "partial 16S ribosomal RNA". It matches the Rfam family "Bacterial small subunit ribosomal RNA", at positions 338 to 795 of the family's 1533-position model. Lineage: Bacteria; Pseudomonadati; Pseudomonadota; Gammaproteobacteria; Oceanospirillales; Halomonadaceae. The record is from RNAcentral.